RNAcentral lists this transfer RNA (73 nucleotides) under Camelus bactrianus (Bactrian camel). It matches the Rfam family "tRNA". From Rfam's summary of the family: Transfer RNA (tRNA) molecules are approximately 80 nucleotides in length. Their secondary structure includes four short double-helical elements and three loops (D, anti-codon, and T loops). Further hydrogen bonds mediate the characteristic L-shaped molecular structure. tRNAs have two regions of fundamental functional importance: the anti-codon, which is responsible for specific mRNA codon recognition, and the 3' end, to which the tRNAs corresponding amino acid is attached (by aminoacyl-tRNA synthetases). tRNAs cope with the degeneracy of the genetic code in two manners: having more than one tRNA (with a specific anti-codon) for a particular amino acid; and 'wobble' base-pairing, i.e. permitting non-standard base-pairing at the 3rd anti-codon position. Lineage: Eukaryota; Metazoa; Chordata; Mammalia; Artiodactyla; Camelidae. RNAcentral also lists the same sequence under 2 other names. The record is from Rfam by way of RNAcentral.
GAAGGUAUAGCUUGAGUGGUAGAGUGUGUGCUUAGCAUGCACAAGGCUCUGGGUUCAAUCCCCGGUAUCUCCA